GACGAACGCUGGCGGCGUGCCUAAUACAUGCAAGUUGAGCGCUGAAGGUUGGUACUUGUACCAACUGGAUGAGCAGCGAACGGGUGAGUAACGCGUGGGGAAUCUGCCUUUGAGCGGGGGACAACAUUUGGAAACGAAUGCUAAUACCGCAUAAAAACUUUAAACACAAGUUUUAAGUUUGAAAGAUGCAAUUGCAUCACUCAAAGAUGAUCCCGCGUUGUAUUAGCUAGUUGGUGAGGUAAAGGCUCACCAAGGCGAUGAUACAUGGCCGACCUGAGAGGGUGAUCGGCCACAUUGGGACUGGGACACGGCCCAAACUCCUACGGGAGGCAGCAGUAGGGAAUCUUCGGCAAUGGACGAAAGUCUGACCGAGCAACGCCGCGUGAGUGAAGAAGGUUUUCGGAUCGUAAAACUCUGUUGGUAGAGAAGAACGUUGGUGAGAGUGGAAAGCUCAUCAAGUGACGGUAACUACACAGAAAGGGACGGCUAACUACGUG
Molecule: ribosomal RNA, 497 nt
Filed under: uncultured bacterium
Lineage: Bacteria
Description: partial 16S ribosomal RNA
Rfam family: Bacterial small subunit ribosomal RNA
Source: RNAcentral